GUGUAUAGCCAUGCCACCCUGAACAAGCCCGAUCCCGUCUGAUCUCAGAAGCUAAGCAGGGUAGGGCUUGGUUAGUACUUGGAUGGGAGACCACCUAGGAAGACCAGGUGCUGUAGGCG
This 119-nucleotide ribosomal RNA is filed under the name Pteropus alecto (black flying fox). The record is from RNAcentral. Lineage: Eukaryota; Metazoa; Chordata; Mammalia; Chiroptera; Pteropodidae.